UCUCCGUUGGUGAACCAGCGGAGGGAUCAUUACAGGACUCGCAAGACUCCUUCACCCUGUGAACCUCACUACAAGCACGUUGCUUCGGCGGGUGUCCCGGCGGGGGUUUUCCCUCGCCGGGGCGCACAGCCCGCCGGCAGCCUACUAUACUCUGUCUCUUUGCGUUGGCAUCUCGAGAAAAAACAAACAAGUUAAAACUUUCAACAACGGAUCUCUUGGUUCUG
This 224-nucleotide unclassified non-coding RNA is filed under the name plant metagenome. Its description in RNAcentral is "partial contains small subunit ribosomal RNA, internal transcribed spacer 1, and 5.8S ribosomal RNA". The record is from RNAcentral.